Ruditapes philippinarum (Manila clam) is the source of this 534-nucleotide long non-coding RNA. RefSeq lists it as uncharacterized. Lineage: Eukaryota; Metazoa; Mollusca; Bivalvia; Venerida; Veneridae. The transcript is spliced from 3 exons. The record is from RefSeq and is a predicted model, not a curated record.
AGUUAUAAGCUACAUCUGAAGCUUACUGCAAACCGAAUUUCGGCUGAAAUAUACAUGCACGUAGUAAAUAGUUCCGUAUGGUCGGUAACAAGUUAGAAAAUCCGUACCUUCAUUCAUUACAGGAGGGUUAUCAUACAUUUUGAAAUGUAUCAUGAUGUCGAAAAUUACAGUAAAUUUGUGCUGUGUACAGAAAAAAAUAUCAAUGCGCGAUUGAAUCACGUGACAGGUCAUUGAGGUCAGCCAUGUUGAUUCGACUUUCGUCAGUACGUUAAUUGAUACAGACAUCCAGGAUAUUUUGAAGAAAUUGUGUGUGAUAUAACAAACUGUUGUGUGAGGUUUUUAAUUUGACAUGGUCAAGACAUACUAUGAUAGUAUUGUUCAGUAUUACUUCUGUCAUGUUACUGUUUGAUAACAGUUAAGGUACAGUAGGUUCAGACAAGUUAUAUACAUGUAUACAGGACAAGACAGCUCAAACUGUCAGUUUGUUAUAGCAAAAAAGUGACAGCCUAGAAGUCUUCAUGAUGAUGAUGGUGA